UGCAUUAUAUACACACUACACAAACACACACACUGCAUUAUAUACACAGUGUGUUUGUGUAGUGUGUUUAAUGCAGUGUGUUUGUGUAGUGUGCAUUAUAUAA
This is a non-coding RNA of Pelobates cultripes (western spadefoot toad), 103 nucleotides long. NCBI's taxonomy places the organism in Eukaryota, Metazoa, Chordata, Amphibia, Anura, Pelobatidae. The record is from the annotation of a GenBank genome assembly.